UCGCUUCAGAUCUGCAGCCUGAUUUCAUUAGACUCGCUGGCUUGUUUCUUCCAGCCCCUGUGAGUGUCCACGGCAGGAGAAACAUCGCUGACACUGGCAUUUUAAAGCCGUGAGGUCCAUACACUUAAGGUUGCAAGGCCAGUGCGGGAAGGACAGGGGACACUGCUGCAGAGACGGAGAGGGGUAAAUUUAGAGAUGACGAGGAAGAGGGAAACGCUUAGGUUCCGUUACGAGGCGACUCUACUGGGUGUUACUUGUCAAGCGGCUGAAUCCACCCACACACCCCAACAGCGUAUGAAAGUUGUUCAGCCCGAAGGGAAAGAGACCCUCCACGGCUGUCAUUACUAAUCCAAGUUUAACUAAAUUUAACAGUUUCCAAGAGCACGUUUUGGCCAUUUCAAACAUGCAAGCACCCACCUGAGAAUUUGGGGCUGCAGCAGACAGCCCUGUCCGGUUUCUGUCACCUUCAUUCUGCCACAGCGGAGAGCUGCACCCCUGAGCUGACAACCCUGCAUUUACCAGUUCAUCUCCAAGGUCUUCCUUGAUGCUGCGGCAAAUGGUUUUUUUACAGUAGGCCCUGCCCACCAGGGAAAAUAAACCAGAACAAGGAGAACGAAAUUCCCUUCCCACGCACGAGUGAUAAUGAAAACAAACUAUCUACAAGGAAGCUCAGACAAGGAGUGUGCUACAGACCAGGCAUCAACUGAAAACAAAUUUCUUAUUCAGGAAAAUGAUGCUAGCGCCUCAAGUAUGCUCUUCUUCCAACCUGGGUGCCCAUCAAAGGACGAAUGGAUAAAGAAGAUGUGGUACUUAUACACAAUGGAAUACUACUCAGCCAUAAGGAACGAUGAAGUCCGGCCAUUUGUGACAACGUGGAUGGA
Molecule: long non-coding RNA, 881 nt
Organism: Equus quagga
Lineage: Eukaryota; Metazoa; Chordata; Mammalia; Perissodactyla; Equidae
Exons: 3
Source: RefSeq, a predicted model, not a curated record